GGGCGUUUAGCUCAGUUGGCUAGAGCAUCUCGUUUACACCGAGAGGGUCGGCGGUUCAAGUCCGUCAACGCCCAC
Molecule: transfer RNA, 75 nt
Filed under: Novipirellula artificiosorum
Lineage: Bacteria; Pseudomonadati; Planctomycetota; Planctomycetia; Pirellulales; Pirellulaceae
Description: Planctomycetes bacterium Poly41 tRNA-Val
Rfam family: tRNA
About the family: Transfer RNA (tRNA) molecules are approximately 80 nucleotides in length.
Source: RNAcentral